UAGUAAUAAAAAAUUGUAAAAAAGUAAUAAUCAAAAUAUAUUUUAUAUUUGAGAUUCUUCAAAGUAGCCACCUUGAUGACAGCUUUGCACACUCUUGGCAUUCUCUCAACCAGCUUUAUGAGGUAGUCACCUGGAAUGCAUUUCAACAGGUGUGCCUUGUUAAAAGUUCAUUUGUGGAAUUUCUUUCCUUCGUAAUUAUGUGUUUGGGGCAAUCAGCUGUGUUGAGACAAGGUAGCAGUGGUAUACAGAAGAUGGCCAUAUUUGGUCAAAUAUAAUAAAAGUCUAUAUUAUGGCAAGAAGAGCUCAAAAAAGCAAAGAGAAACAUCAUUACUUUAAGACAUGAAGGUCAGUCAAUCCGGAACAUUUCAAUAAGUCACAAAAACCGUCAAGUGCUACGAUGAAACUGGCUCUCAUGAGGACCGCCACAGGAAAGGAAGACCGGGAGUUACCUCUGCUGCAGAGGACAAGUUCAUUAGAGUUACCAGCCUCAGAUUGCAGCCCAAAUAAAUGCUUCACAGAUUUCAAGUAACAGACACAUCUCAACAUCAACUGUUCAGAGAAGACUGUGUGAAGAAGCCAUUUGUGUUUGAAUUGCUGCAAAGAAACCACUGCUAAAGGACAUCAGUAAGAAGAAGAGACUCGCUUGGGCCAAGAAACACGAGCAAUGGGCAUUAGACUGGUUGAAAUCUGUCCUUUGGUCUGAUGAAAAUUUUGGUUCCAACCUCCAUGUCUUUGUGAGACACAGCGUAGGUGAAUGGAUGAUCUCUGCAUGUGUGGUUCUCACCGUGAAGCAUGAAGGAGGAGGUGUGAUGGUGUGGGGGUGCUUUUCUGGUGACACUGUCUGUGAUUUAUUUAGAAUUCAAGGCACACUUAACCAGCAUGGCUACCACAGUAUUCUGUAUUGAUAUGCCAUCUGGUGUGCGCUUAGUGGGACUAUCAUUUGUUUUUCAACAGGACAAUGACCCAAAACACACCUCCAGGUUGUGUAAAGGCUAUUUAACCAAGUAGAGUGAUAGAGUGCUGCAUCAGAUGACCUGGCCUCCACAAUCAACCAACCUCAACCCAGUUGAGAUGAUUUGGAAAGAGUUUGACUGCAGAGUGAAGGAAAAGCAGCCAACAAGUGCUCAGAAUAUCUGGGAACUCCUUCAAGACUGUUGGAAAAGCAUUCCUCAUGAAGCUGGUUAAGAGAAUGCCAAGAGUGUGCAAAGCUGACAUCAAGGCAAAUAUAUUUGGAUUUGUUUAACACUUUUUUUUGGUUACUACAGGAUUCCAUCUGUGUUAUUUAAUUGUUUUGAUGUCUUCACUAUUAUUCUACAACGUAGAAAAUAGUCAAAAUAAAGAACAACCAUUGAAUGAGCAGGUGUGUCCAAACCUUUGACUGGUACUGUAUAUAAUCGUAUUCAUCAUGAUCUAAAAGUCAAAACUCCUAAUUUGUGAAUAUGGGCCUUGCAGUUACAGUAACAGUUGCAAUAUAUAUUCAUUAUGGUCAAACCCUAACCCUAUGUCAAUAUGCAGAGUGGAUUAAGACUAAACCAACCCUGCUCCUACACACAUGUCAAAUGCUCUAGCAAGGCUGCUUAAAUCACACUCACUUCAAUAGAGGGGUAUCAUUUAUUGAUGUGGUGUGCUGUCACCUAGGGUAUGCUUAAGCUCAGGGAACUAGGUCCCUUUGUAGUGCCUGUGAUUGAAUGCAAAACAACGACUGAUUAAAAGCUCAGUCAUUUAGCAAUCAAAGAAGAAUGGGCUCUCGGGUUAAAUGAAUAACAUCUCAGGAUCAAUUAAAGCAAGUAUGUCUUGAUUAAUUCACGGCAGAUUAGGACUGAAUAUACAUUAGGAAAGCAGGGUCAGAGACAGAACAUAUUGCACGGCAGACAUGUAAAACAUUGAAUCUGCUAAGACAUACAAAAUGAUCAAUUGCUGUAGAAUUGAUUCUCACACAUCAUCCCAAACGUUCUUAUCUUACAGGGAGGAGAGAGUAAACCAAUUAGAAUCCAGCUCCCUCCAAAGAAAGGCCUCCUGUCAUCAGCGUGCACACACCUCCAUGAUUUAUGAGCCAUCUGUCACGUCUGAUGUUCCUGUCGCCUCAGACAGGAUGUGCAAGCCUGGCAUGCGGAGACGCUCUGCGCGGGCACCGCAUGGGCACAGCAUGGUUAGGUCCACUGUAAUUAAAUUACAACCAAAUGUGCACCCAGAAGUCCCGAUGAUCCUAACAUCACAAAACAAAAGACAUUGGUGGAGAAAAUCAAAUGGUUAGGAAUGUUUGAUGUUGUCAGAGAUCCAAGAUAUUCUACACAGAAUUGGACUCGAAUAUUUCAAAACUAAUACCUCAUUGACCAACACAAUCUCACACUGCAAAUAUGUAAAAAAAAAAAAAAAAAAAGUAUUUCAACAGAUUUCGUGCAUUUAUGUGUGGAUUCAUUUGUGUGAGAAUUGUUGUGUGAUUGAUUGAUAGGUAGGUGAUAGGUGAUUGAUAGGAAAAUACAUUUUUUUGAGGGCAAACUUUGGAACAAUCUUUUGAAAGUUAUUAGAGCAAUGCAUGAUUGGCAUUGGUGUUGUUUGACACUGACAUUUUUUUGUAUCCCACAUUUAUUUAUAUAUACAGUACCAGUCAAAAGUUUAGACACCUACUCAUUCAAGGGUUUUUCUUUAUGUUUAUUAUUUUCUACAUUGUCGAAUAAUAGUGAAGACAUCAACACUAUUAAAUAACACAUAUGGAAUCAUGGAGUAAAACCAAAAAAAGUGUUAAACAAAUGUAUUUUAUAUUUGAAAUUCUACAAAGCAGCCACCCUUUGCCUUGUUGACAGCUUUGCACAUUCUUGGCAUCCUCUCAACCAGCAUCAUGAGGUAGUUACCUAGAACACAUUUCAAUUAACAGGUGUGUCUUGUUAAAAGUUAAUUUAAUGUGUUUGAGCCAAUCAGUAGUGUUGUGGCAAGGUAGUGUUGGUAUAUAGAAGAUAGCUCUAUUUGGAUAAAGACCAAGUCCAUUUUAUGGCAGGAAAAGCUCAAAUAAGUAAAGAGAAAUGACAGUCCAUCAUUAAAUCAAAUCAAGUUAAACCAUAUUUGUCACAUGAGCCAAAUACAACAGGUGUAGGUAGACCUUACUAUGAAAUGCUUACUAAAAAGCCCUUACGGAUUAGCCCCUUUUUAGAAUUUUUAGCCUAAAAUGACAAACCCAAAUCAGACUGCUUGUAGCUCAGGCCCUGAAGCAAAAAUAUGCAUGUUCUUGGU
Long non-coding RNA from Oncorhynchus tshawytscha (Chinook salmon), 3228 nucleotides. The record is from Ensembl. Lineage: Eukaryota; Metazoa; Chordata; Actinopteri; Salmoniformes; Salmonidae.